Molecule: ribosomal RNA, 449 nt
Filed under: uncultured bacterium
Lineage: Bacteria
Description: partial 16S ribosomal RNA
Rfam family: Bacterial small subunit ribosomal RNA
Source: RNAcentral
AACGAACGCUGGCGGCAGGCUUAACACAUGCAAGUCGAACGCAUCCUUCGGGGUGAGUGGCAGACGGGUGAGUAACGCGUGGGAACGUGCCCUUCAGUUCGGGAUAACCCAGGGAAACUUGGGCUAAUACCGGAUACGUGCGAGAGCAGAAAGAUUUAUCGCUGAAGGAUCGGCCCGCGUCUGAUUAGCUAGUUGGUGGGGUAAUGGCCCACCAAGGCGACGAUCAGUAGCUGGUCUGAGAGGAUGAUCAGCCACAUUGGGGCUGAGACACGGCCCAAACUCCUACGGGAGGCAGCAGUGGGGAAUAUGGGACAAAGGGCGCAAGCCUGAUCCAGCCAUGCCGCGUGAGUGAUGAAGGCCUUAGGGUUGUAAAGCUCUUUCGUCCGGGACGAUAAUGACGGUACCGGAAGAAGAAGCCCCGGCUAACUUCGUGCCAGCCGCCGCCGUAA